UACGUAGGUGGCGAGCGUUAUCCGGAAUUACUGGGCGUAAAGGGUGCGUAGGUGGUUUCUUAAGUCAGAAGUGAAAGGCUACGGCUCAACCGUAGUAAGCUUUUGAAACUGAGAAACUUGAGUGCAGGAGAGGAGAGUAGAAUUCCUAGUGUAGCGGUGAAAUGCGUAGAUAUUAGGAGGAAUACCAGUUGCGAAGGCGGCUCUCGGGACUGUAACUGACACUGAGGCACGAAAGCGUGGGGAGCAAACAGG
RNAcentral lists this ribosomal RNA (252 nucleotides) under uncultured bacterium. RNAcentral describes it as "partial 16S ribosomal RNA". It matches the Rfam family "Bacterial small subunit ribosomal RNA", at positions 524 to 776 of the family's 1533-position model. The record is from RNAcentral.